UUAUUAUGAUUGGUCGAUAGGUGAAACACUAAAAAAUGAAAAUCAUAAGUGAUUUAUGAGAAUAUGAAGGAAAAAAGAAAUCUUCAUGAACGUUUUCUAAAUUAAAAAUUUGAGGAACGCAAAUUAAGUUUUGGUUUUUUCAAAAUACAACUCACCGAGUGCAAAUUGGCAGGAUGGAAUUUGCCUUCUCAAAUCAAUCAUAUCCAUGUAAAUAAUGAAAUUACACCACUAUUGUAUAAUUUACCUCACAUGAUUAUAUUUAAAUUAAAAAGUGUAAAAAUUGGAAAAAGCAAGCCGGUAUAAUUAAUCUGGCCAUGGAUUUUUUACUCCUAUUUUUUACAGGAGUAUGAUUCAUCAUCAUUAAAAUAUUUAUAAAAUAAACCCCAUGUUUUUAUUUUUUAAAGAAUUGAUAAUUAAACAUUUGUCCUCUGUUUUUUUUUUGUUUUACACAUUCUUCUUGUUUUUUUUAAUCUAAGUUUCAAAGAGGAAAGUCCAAAGCUCUGCUAGGGCUUUUGCCCUUCUGCUUCCCAUCAACGUCGCUCGUUCCUUGGUCUUCCCCUUCCACGAUAGCUCGCUCUCUGAUCUUCUCCUUGCGUCGUGGUCAUUUUCUAAUCCUUUCCAUUCGCGGGAUUGCUCGUUCUCCUCUGUGUCGUGCUUGUUCUCUGAUCGUCGACACCGCAACACGCUGCCGCCGCCGCCGCUACACUCGGGUCCACCACUUCAUUGUUUUCUGUCGCCUCUCUGUUCCUCUUCUUCACCAGCGACACUGAUCUCUAUCCUUCUCCCUCCACCUUUGCCUCUGCCACUUACUCCUUUAAGUUAUGUUGCACCGGAGUAUGCAUGCACUGGAAUGCUGACUGAGAAGAGUGAUGUUUAUAGCUUUGGGAUACUUAUUAUGGAAAUAAUUACCGUAAGAAGUCCUGCUGAUUAUAGUAAACCCCAAGGAGAGGUUAAUUUAAUUGAGUGGUUGAAAGCUAUGGUUGACAAUAGAAAAUCAGAGGAACUCAUUGAUCUGAACCUUCUUGAAAAUCCAUCUUCAAAGGCUCUUAAGCUUUGCUCUGUUGGUUGCUCUUAAAUGUAUUGAUCCAGAUGCCAUAAAGUGACCUAAAAUCGGACACAUAAUCCACAUGCUUGAGGCCGACGAGAUCCUAUUCGGUGAUAGGACUGGAGGGGAAUCAUUGCGAUCCCAUGACAAUUAACAUCAUGAACAAAAAGACUCUAGCAGAGAUAGAAAGCGAAUAGAUGAAGAGAUCACUGAUCAAAGUGAAGAUGAUAAUAGCAGUAAAAAUCUUGUCCAUCCCACAAGGUUGAGAUGAUAGUUGUUAAAUGGUAAAUGUAGCUAUGUAUUUAUUAUUUUUGGUUUUAGUAGUUUGCCUAUAUUAAUUUCUAUCUUAAUCUGGACAACAUGCAAUGAGUGUAUUUUUGCUGCAUAAUUUUCCCUCCCACCACAAUUUGGGAUUCAUUGUAUACUCGUUCAUUAUUACUAAAAAAUAAAAUUUUAA
This is a non-coding RNA of Arachis ipaensis, 1502 nucleotides long. The record is from RefSeq and is a predicted model, not a curated record. NCBI's taxonomy places the organism in Eukaryota, Viridiplantae, Streptophyta, Magnoliopsida, Fabales, Fabaceae.